ACUCGGGCCUUUGCUUCAUUGAACUUCUAUGCACAGUAUUCGUCGUGUCGCAUCGGUAGAAGCCCGUUUGGCUUUGUCCUGAGGUUAGAACUCGGGCCUUUGAUUCAUUGAACUUCUAUGCACAGUAUUCGUCGUGUCGCAUCGGUAGAAGCCCGUUUGGCUUUGUCCCGAGGUUAGAACUCGGGCCUUUCAUUUAUUGAACUUACUUGCGCAGUAUUUGUCGUGUCGCAUCGGUAGAAGCCCGUUUGGCUUUGUCUCGAGGUUAGAACUCGGGCCUUUGAUUCAUUGAACUUCUAUGCACAGUAUUCGUCGUGUCGCAUCGGUAGAAGCCCGUUUGGCUUUGUCCCGAGGUUAGAACUCGGGCCUUUCAUUUAUUGAACUUACUUGCGCAGUAUUUGUCGUGUCGCAUCGGUAGAAGCCCGUUUGGCUUUGUCUCGAGGUUAGAACUCGGGCCUUUCAUUUAUUGAACUUAUUUGCGCAGUAUUCGUCGUGUCGCAUCGGUAGAAGCCCGUUUGGCUUUGUCCCGAGGUUAGAACUCGGGCCUUUCAUUUAUUGAACUUAUUUGCGCAGUAUUUGUCGUGUCGCAUCGGUAGAAGCCCAUUUGGCUUUGUCCCGAGGUUAGAACUCGGGCCUUUGCUUCAUUGAACUUCUAUGCACAGUAUUCGUCGUGUCGCAUCGGUACAAGCCCGUUUGGCUUUGUCCCGUGGUUAGAACUCGGGCCUUUCAUUUAUUGAACUUAUUUGCGCAGUAUUCGUCGUGUCGCAUCGGUAGAAGCCUGUUUGCCUUUGUCCCGUGGUUAGAACUCGGGCCUUUCAUUUAUUGAACUUAUUUGCGCAGUAUUCGUCGUGUCGCAUCGGUAGAAGCCCGUUUGGCUUUGUCCUGAGGUUAGAUCUCGGGCCUCUGAUUCAUUGAACUUAUUUGCACAGAAUUCGUCUUGUCGCAUCCCUAGAAGCCCGCUUCGUUUUGUCCCGAGGUUAGAACUCGGGCCUUUGCUUCAUUGAACUUCUAUGCACAGUAUUCGUCGUGUCGCAUCGGUAGAAGCCAAUUUGGCUUUGUCCCGAGGUUAGAUCUCGGGCCUCUGAUUCAUUGAACUUAUUUGCACAGAAUUCGUCUUGUCGCAUCCCUAGAAGCCCGCUUCGUUUUGUCCCGAGGUUAGAACUCGGGCCUUUGCUUCAUUGAACUUCUAUGCACAGUAUUCGUCGUGUCGCAUCGGUAGAAGCCAAUUUGGCUUUGUCCCGAGGUUAGAUCUCGGGCCUCUGAUUCAUUGAACUUAUUUGCACAGAAUUCGUCUUGUCGCAUCCCUAGAAGCCCGCUUCGUUUUGUCCCGAGGUUAGAAGUCGGGCCUUUGCUUCAUUGAACUUCUAUGCACAGUAUUCGUCGUGUCGCAUCGGUAGAAGCCCGUUUGGCUUUGUCCCGACGUUAGAACUCGGGCCUUUGAUUCAUUGAACUUCUAUGCACAGUAUUCGUCGUGUCGAAUCGGUAGAAGCCAGUUUGGCUUUGUCCCGAGGUUAGAACUCGGGCCUCUGAUUCAUUGAAGUUAUUUGCACAGAAUUCGUCUUGUCGCAUCCCUAGAAGCCCUCUUCGUUUUGUCCCGAGGUUAGAAGUCGGGCCUUUGCUUCAUUGAACUUCUAUGCACAGUAUUCGUCGUGUCGCAUCGGUAGAAGCCCGUUUGGCUUUGUCCCGACGUUAGAACUCGGGCCUUUGAUUCAUUGAACUUCUAUGCACAGUAUUCGUCGUGUCGAAUCGGUAGAAGCCAGU
Molecule: long non-coding RNA, 1758 nt
Organism: Rhipicephalus sanguineus (brown dog tick)
Lineage: Eukaryota; Metazoa; Arthropoda; Arachnida; Ixodida; Ixodidae
Exons: 8
Source: RefSeq, a predicted model, not a curated record